Molecule: long non-coding RNA, 355 nt
Filed under: Hordeum vulgare
Lineage: Eukaryota; Viridiplantae; Streptophyta; Magnoliopsida; Poales; Poaceae
Description: long non-coding RNA (HVUL_LNC012093)
Source: RNAcentral
UGCUACAUUACCCUUUCCUCUUCAAGGGAACACCAACGCAAGGCUCCAAGGUCGCGGGGAAAUCCUUUGCAUAUUUGCCAAAGAAGUCCCUAUAGGCGUAGCCCGUAGCAGCAGGAUUCCUGGUGCCGUUGUCAGGGAAGGUCUGUUGUCGCAGCAGCAGAAGGAUUUCUGGCGCCGUUGUCGGGGAGGAGAGAUCAAGUCAAGAUCUAUCCAAUUAGGUGUCACAAACUCAUCUCUUGCAUUUACCUUUUUUGUCAGUUGCCUCUCAUUUUCCUCUCCCCCACUUCACAUUUGUCGUUUUCAUUGCCUUUCUCCUUUGCCGUUUUCAUUUGCCUUUUUUCUGUUUUCCUUUGCC